This 406-nucleotide ribosomal RNA is filed under the name uncultured bacterium. RNAcentral describes it as "partial 16S ribosomal RNA". It matches the Rfam family "Bacterial small subunit ribosomal RNA", at positions 30 to 526 of the family's 1533-position model. The record is from RNAcentral.
AUUGAACGCUGGCGGCAGGCCUAACACAUGCAAGUCGAACGAGUGGCGGACGGGUGAGUAAUGUCUGGGAAACUGCCUGAUGGAGGGGGAUAACUACUGGAAACUGUAGCUAAUACCGCAUACCAUCAGAUGUGCCCAGAUGGGAUUAGCUAGCAGGUGGGGUAACGGCUCACCUAGGCGACGAUCCCUAGCUGGUCUGAGAGGAUGACCAGCCAAACUGGAACGGAGACACGGUCCAGACUCCUACGGGAGGCAGCAGUGGGGAAUAUUGCACAAUGGGGGCAAGCCUGAUGCAGCAAUGCCGCGUGUAUGAAGAAGGCCUUCGGGUUGUAAAGCACUUUAAGAGAGGAGGCGUUACCCGCAGAAGAAGCACCGGCUAACUCCGUGCCAGCAGCCGCGGUAAUAC